This 103-nucleotide small nuclear RNA is filed under the name Procavia capensis (Cape rock hyrax). The record is from RNAcentral. Lineage: Eukaryota; Metazoa; Chordata; Mammalia; Hyracoidea; Procaviidae.
UCGCUUUGGCAGCACCUAGCCUAAAACUGAAACAAUACCGAAAAUAUUAGUACAGUUUCUGCAAAAUGAUGACAUACACAUUUGUAAAGCAUUCCAGAGUCAG